AGAGCAGAGGGAAGACCCUCACUCGAACACAAAAGAAAAAGAGAGAUGAAAAGAGAUAGCGAUGAACUACACCAACGAUAAGUGGAAAAUAAACUACAUCGAAGACCCGAGGGACCUCGUCUCGACAAAGAAGGAUACUCCUAUCAAAAAAAAAAAAACCUCAGCCACUAAAAGGAAACUCGGCACAGGCCGAGGACAAAUCGACUUCCUCAGAGUAACGAGAAGUUCGAGCCCU
Molecule: long non-coding RNA, 235 nt
Filed under: Elaeis guineensis (African oil palm)
Lineage: Eukaryota; Viridiplantae; Streptophyta; Magnoliopsida; Arecales; Arecaceae
Description: long non-coding RNA (EGUI_LNC029788)
Source: RNAcentral